This 87-nucleotide non-coding RNA is filed under the name Chinchilla lanigera (long-tailed chinchilla). The record is from RNAcentral. Lineage: Eukaryota; Metazoa; Chordata; Mammalia; Rodentia; Chinchillidae.
AUAAGGACGGAAGAGGCCCUUGGGCCUGACAACACGCAUAUGGUUAAGGCAUUGCCACCUACUUCUAACUUUCUAUGAACAAAUUUU